RNAcentral lists this long non-coding RNA (1514 nucleotides) under Heterocephalus glaber (naked mole-rat). Its description in RNAcentral is "lncRNA (ENSHGLG00100037881.1)". Lineage: Eukaryota; Metazoa; Chordata; Mammalia; Rodentia; Bathyergidae. The record is from RNAcentral.
AGUUGAGUAACCUUUACUGUUUAAGGCACUGUUUACACACGUGCCAGUCUGUUCUUCAACAGAGCUUCUGGCUAGAAAGAUGUGCCCAGGUCAUGAGCCCUGUUGGCUGCCAGGGGGGGACCCUGAACCACACUCAGCCAUUCUCCUCAGAACACCCGCUUCCUCAUUCUUCCACUUCCUGUUCUCCUUGCCUGUUUGCUCGUGACUCCAGUCCCUUCCUUUCCUGUGUUCCUGACUGAGCCUUCAGUAUGCCCGUGCCCAUGGUCAGUGCAUGCUUGGCUUUGUCUCGGUCUUUCACCUUGGGUCUGCUCUGUGACUCUUCAUCACAUCUGUCCCUUCUAUUCUGGGGUUCUGCAAGUGGUCUUCAGCAUGUAACUCCCUUGAGCUCAGGCUAGCCUGGAACCCCCAGUCUCUAUUACCUGCCCAUCAGGAGCUCCCUUGCACCAAGUCUUUGUUUUCUUCAGGGGUAGGACUUCGGUGAUCUGAUUCCCUUUCUUUACCUUGGAUUUUACAUAAAGGCCUGUUUCUGUGUGAUUUGUUGUUGUUGUCCUUUGUUUGUUUUUGCAGUACUGGGGAUUAAGCCCGGGACUUUCACCCUGAGCUACAUCCCGAGUGGUUUAAAUUUUUUUUUUUUACUGGGAGGCAUGUUUUCCUUAAGUCACUGAGUUGCCCAGGCUGGUCUCACACUUGAAAUCUUCCUGCCCCAAUCUUCCAGAGUGCUGAGAUUACAGGCCUGCACUACCAUGCCUGUCUGAAGUCCUGAAUUUCUUUGAGAGAGAAAGAAAUUUUGCUGGGAUUUAAAAUAUGAAUAAAAAAUCUGAUAAAACUACAAAAAAGAGAGAAAAGACAAAAAGGACUGUUGUAAAAAUAAGACGCUUUGAAGAAUAUGAAGCAGAUGUUGUGCUGGAAGCUAGUAUGUUCUAUAGUACCACCUGUGCCCACUUAAUUCCAUCAAAAUAAUUUCCCCCAGUAACCAUGAAGAAAGAUUUAAGAAUAUAUGGUGGGGGCAGGGAAAGAAAGCGAGAAUAAAGGCGGUAGCUCAGAUGUGGAGUUCAUCUGCAAAUGGGGAUAACAAUUUACAGCCAGUGGAUGCUUCUGGUCUGUGAUUUAAGGUAUGGUUUCUUUGUCCUGGAGCUUGACUUGUUAGUCAGAUCACCAUGCAAAACUAUUCCACAUGUGUAUGUCUUAAGUGAGAAUUUAUAUGUGCUACUGCUUGUCUAUCUGCCCAUCUACCCAUCUAUCUACCUACCUUCCUACUUAUCUAUAUGAUUUGGUUAACAAUAUGGUAUAGUAGAAGGACAACUUUUUAAAUGAAAAUAGUCAAUGACAAUUUCUUUGUUCUUCCAGCAACUACCUUUCUCUCUUUUCUUUUCUUUUCUUUUCCAUAUAUUUCAUAGUAUUUCCAUGGUUCUCAGUCCAUCUCAGAUGAUAUUGCUUAACCCUUUCCUUGAAGGAAUUUGCUUAUUUUCUGGUGCAACUCUUACGUUAUUAUUCCAAGUGAAGUGCACUGCCAG